AAAUUAAUAAGAAAAGCUCUGCAACUUAAAAGACAACAUUCAUCACAAAAUUACAAUGUGUCAAAAUGAGAAAGACACAAAAGUACAAUCUGUUGCUCGCCUUUUUCUGUUUUUUUUUUUUUUUUUUAAUGUCCAUCGACAGUCUCUCAAAAAAUAUGAAGUCUUCGUCAGGAAAUGUUCAAAAAUAUGCGCGCAAAAAACGAAAGUCCUUUUCAGAGUUCGCAACGAACGAAAACACGCAAUAAAAGUUAAUGAUGAUCCUCUUGUAGCCUGAUCCUCCUCGGUUGGAAACCUCAGGAAACCACCUGUCAGAGA
Long non-coding RNA from Xiphophorus couchianus (Monterrey platyfish), 315 nucleotides. RefSeq lists it as uncharacterized. The transcript is spliced from 3 exons. Lineage: Eukaryota; Metazoa; Chordata; Actinopteri; Cyprinodontiformes; Poeciliidae. The record is from RefSeq and is a predicted model, not a curated record.